AACGAACGCUGGCGGCAUGCCUAACACAUGCAAGUCGAACGAGACCUUCGGGUCUAGUGGCGCACGGGUGCGUAACGCGUGGGAAUUUGCCUCGGGGUACGGAAUAAACUCAGGGAAACUUGAGCUAAUACCGUAUGAUGUCUUCGGACCAAAGAUUUAUCGCCCUGAGAUAAGCCCGCGUAGGAUUAGCUAGUUGGUGAGGUAAGAGCUCACCAAGGCGACGAUCCUUAGCUGGUCUGAGAGGAUGAUCAGCCACACUGGGACUGAGACACGGCCCAGACUCCUACGGGAGGCAGCAGUGGGGAAUAUUGGACAAUGGGCGAAAGCCUGAUCCAGCAAUGCCGCGUGAGUGAUGAA
This 357-nucleotide ribosomal RNA is filed under the name uncultured bacterium. RNAcentral's name for it is "bacterial SSU rRNA". It matches the Rfam family "Bacterial small subunit ribosomal RNA", at positions 29 to 412 of the family's 1533-position model. The record is from RNAcentral.